Long non-coding RNA from Lycium barbarum (goji berry), 1193 nucleotides. RefSeq lists it as uncharacterized. NCBI's taxonomy places the organism in Eukaryota, Viridiplantae, Streptophyta, Magnoliopsida, Solanales, Solanaceae. The transcript is spliced from 3 exons. The record is from RefSeq and is a predicted model, not a curated record.
ACACUAUCAUUAACUACAUGGCUUUCAUUUCCGUUGCCGACACAUAAAUUAUUUUUGUAAAUUCUUACUUCACUUUUCCCCUUCAAUCUUCUUCGUUUUCUCCGUUUAACAUUUACACGAUGUUACAUUAAAAUUUCCACUUUUCAUUACGUUUGUUACACCCCUGCCACUUAACCUCUAGAUAUACAUACACUUUCUUACCUAUAGGAAGCAAAAUAGGUUGCUGGAUGUUUCCCCUUCAACAAGGAGUAGCAAACUUUCUCGUCCUCUUUCAUUGAUUUCAUGGUUAUAACAUCAGUUUCCUCCGAAUCUUAGCAAAGUACGGGAUUACUUCGUGGUGAAGUAAGGUGGAAAAGAGUAUUUCUUGGCACAUAAGGUAGCCCAUCUUGAAUUUAAGAUAUUCAUCAAAUGGAGUGGAGGUAGCAAUGAAAACUAUAUGCAUCAACGUGUUGUGUUUAUUUCCAAGUUGUCGAAGCCGCUUGUUUCUUAGAAGAUUGAGGAAGAGCGGACAAAUUCCAUCUCAUUUACGGUUAACGUGAGAAUUGGAUGGACUGGUUCCGUGGUAGCUAUUUAAAACGAAGUAUAUAAGACUUGCAGGUUCAAGAAAUGAGACAUGGGAUGAGUGAGUAAGCGAUGAGGUACAGAUACUCGCUUUGGUGAGCCGCCAGCUUAGGAUUCCCUUUCUGCUGUCUUGGAGAGCUCCGUCGUUCCGGAGCCUAGAUUUUGGUACCGACUUCCUGAUAUGCAUAUAUAUAUGUUUUUGUCCAUGGGUACGACGGGGCCCUGUCCCGUCAUAUGUUACUGUUGAUACUCUUAGAUGUCUAUAGACAUGUAUGUGGGUUGUGUGCAGAUGUGGUUAGUUGUGCCUAUAUGGUCAUUAUGGAUGUUCUAGCGCUGUAGCAGCCUUGCCGGCUUGCAUAUAUUAUCGUUUUGUUGUGGCAGCCUUGCCGGCUUGCAUAUAUUAUCGUUCUGUUGUAGCAGCCUUGUCGGCUUGCGUGGUAUUCUGUUAUGUAGUGGCAGCCUUGUCGGCUUGCGUAGAAUAAUAAUAUAUACAGUGGCAGCCUCGUCGGCUUGCGUAUGUCAUUACGUUGGGAUAGAUUGAGGACCUAUAGUAUCAGUCCGAUUAUGUCUGACAGGUACAUAUGGGUGCCCAGCUCUGGCACUAGUCAUGGCCCACGGGGCUGGGUCGUGAC